RNAcentral lists this signal recognition particle RNA (299 nucleotides) under Cebus imitator (Panamanian white-faced capuchin). Its description in RNAcentral is "Metazoan signal recognition particle RNA (ENSCCAG00000014709.1)". It matches the Rfam family "Metazoan signal recognition particle RNA". Rfam says of the family: The signal recognition particle (SRP) is a universally conserved ribonucleoprotein. It is involved in the co-translational targeting of proteins to membranes. Lineage: Eukaryota; Metazoa; Chordata; Mammalia; Primates; Cebidae. The record is from RNAcentral.
GCCAGGCACGGUGGCACGUGCCUGUAGUCCCAGCUACUCAGGAGGCUGAAGUGGAAGCAUCGCUUGAGCCCAGGAGUCCUGGGCUGUAGGGCGCUGUGCAGAUCGGGGGUCUGCACUAAGUUCACCAUCAAUAUGGUGACCUCCCGGGAGCGGGGGACCACCAGGUUGCCUAAGGAGGGGUGAACCAGCCCAGGUCAGAAACUGAGCAGGUCAAAACCCCCGUGCUGAUCAGUAGUGAGAUCGCGCCUGUGAAUAGUCACUGCACUCCAGCCUGGGCAACAUAGCAAGGCCCUGUCUCU